RNAcentral lists this transfer RNA (76 nucleotides) under uncultured Gammaproteobacteria bacterium. RNAcentral's name for it is "tRNA-Ala". It matches the Rfam family "tRNA". From Rfam's summary of the family: Transfer RNA (tRNA) molecules are approximately 80 nucleotides in length. Their secondary structure includes four short double-helical elements and three loops (D, anti-codon, and T loops). Lineage: Bacteria; Pseudomonadati; Pseudomonadota; Gammaproteobacteria. The record is from RNAcentral.
GGCUAUAGCUCAGCUGGGAGAGCGCUUGAUUUGCAUUCAAGAGGUCCGUGGUUCGAUCCCGCGUAGCUCCACCAUA